UACAGAGGGGGCAAGCGUUAUUCGGAAUUAUUGGGCGUAAAGGGCGCGUAGGCGGCUUUGCAAGUGACGGGUGAAAGCCCUCGGCUUAACCGAGGAACUGCCUGUCAGACUGUAAGGCUUGAGACCGGGAGAGGUGAGUGGAAUUCCCAGUGUAGCGGUGAAAUGCGUAGAUAUCGGGAAGAACACCUGUGGCGAAGGCGGCUCUCUGGGACGGUACUGACGCUGAGACGCGAAAGCUAGGGGAGCGAACGGG
Molecule: ribosomal RNA, 253 nt
Filed under: uncultured bacterium
Lineage: Bacteria
Description: partial 16S ribosomal RNA
Rfam family: Bacterial small subunit ribosomal RNA
Source: RNAcentral